UUUGAUUCUAGCUAUAAAAUUUAUUUUUUUUUUAUUUAUACAUGCAAAAAUUUUUUUACUCAUAAAAAAAAAAAUUAUUUAUUUAAAAUAACUAAUAUAUUUUAUGUCUGCAGUAAUUAAUAUUAGAUAAAUUAUAAUAGUAAGUUCUAGUUAAAAAUUAUAAGUUGGUAAAAUUCGUGCCAGCUACCGCGGUUAAACGAUAGACUUAAAUAAAUUUUUUUUAGAAAAAUGAAAAUUAAUAAUUUAAGAUAUUUUAUACUAAAAAAAUAGUUUAAUAUAAAUAAAUUUAUUAUUCUACAUAUAUCCUUAUAAUUUUUUCAUGAAAGCUAAAAUAAAAACAAGGAUUAGAUACCCUUCUAUUUUUAGCCUUUAAUAUCUAGGGGACUACAAAUACAUAUUUAAAACUCAAAGAACUUGGCGGUACUUUAUCUUAUUAGGGGAAUCUGUUUAUUAAUUCGAUAACCCACGAAAAUCUUACCUAUUUUUGAAAUUUCAAUUUGUAUACUGCCGUCAUCAGUUUAUCAUUUAAAUGUUAAUAAACAAAAAAAACUCUUUUUAAUAUGUCAGGUCAAAGUGCAGUAAAUAUAUAGGUUAAAAUGGAUUACAAUCUUAAUAAAAGGAAUGAAUAAUUAAUGAAAUAAAAAUGAAAAUGAACUUAAAAGUAAUAUUAAUUAAUUAUUUAAUAUGAAAUUAGAUAUCUAAAGUGUGUACAUAUCGCCCGUCACUCUUUUUGAAAAAAAAGAAAAGUCGUAACAUAGUAGGUAUAAUGGAAAUUGUGCCUU
Molecule: non-coding RNA, 782 nt
Filed under: Galathealinum brachiosum
Lineage: Eukaryota; Metazoa; Annelida; Polychaeta; Sabellida; Siboglinidae
Source: RNAcentral